Sorghum bicolor (sorghum) is the source of this 2133-nucleotide long non-coding RNA. RefSeq lists it as uncharacterized. The record is from RefSeq and is a predicted model, not a curated record. The transcript has 5 exons. NCBI's taxonomy places the organism in Eukaryota, Viridiplantae, Streptophyta, Magnoliopsida, Poales, Poaceae.
GAAUGAAAAAUCAGGAAAGCACUCUAAAUGGGAUUUUGAUCCCCCACCAAUGGACAUUAUGAGAUUCAUUGAUUUUCCCACACCCCGUGAACGUCCACCAUCAAAGCCAAGUGAAUGUAAUUCAGAAAGGAACGCAAGGAAAUAUGAUGAUGAUUAUUUUUGGGACAAUUUAAGUGAAGAACAAUUUAAAGAACUUGAUGCCCAAAUUGAAGAUAUAGAAAGGAACAGGACAGAUAAGUCACUUUCUAGCAGUGCAGUUAAGCAAACUCCUGUACCUACAGAUAACCCAAUUGAACAUUUAGAAAGGAAGCCAACAAGAGUUGAAAAGACAACAUCAGCUACAACCUAUGGUCUACAAUCUGCUCCCAGCACUUCACACACACCCCUGCGUAUCAACCUCCGCCCAGAAGGCCAGCACGACCAGGGCGUGCUUUGCAGUCCCCAUAUAUUGAUUAUGGCAGAAAUGACUUGAAGUGCAGCAAGGUUGCAAGUCAUGCAUAUGAUGUGGUAUGCUCGGCCACUACAAGGUCAACCAAGGUCAACCAGGAGUUCGAGUCAAAGCUCAAGCCAAGGAGACGAUAUCAUAAUCAGUUAUCCAGAUUACUAUGUGAGCUUGAAGCACCUUUCUGAAUCAGUUAAACCAGGUGGAAAAUUAUUCAACACAGUAGCUGAAAUUGCUAUAUAUGCAUUAAAAGACAGAAAGGCCAAGAUCCCUGUAAAACAAAUACUCCCACUAAGAAUAGCUUCUUUUCUACAAGAUGGGAUUCUGGAUAAUGGGGAGAUUAAUAGUGCUUUCCAAAGAAGCCUCCAUCACCUAGACCGUUCUCAAUUGAUAAUUGAUCGUCCACUUAAUCCUCUUCUUUUUUUUUCAAAAUAGGCAAUUUAACUAUGUUCAUUAGGCUAUAAUAUUGUUUCAUUUUAGGCUAUACUUUUUUUUAAAAAAAAAUAUGCAAUCUUGGGUGUCCUACCAUCAUAACUUUUUGUUUUCGUGUUCUAAAAUUUGUGGAGCAAUUUAUAGAAAAUAACAAAAUAUGACAUGUGUAGGGGCAGAGAACAACAGGUAGUGCCUAUGUUAAAUUGUCCAUAUCUCAAUUUGAUUCACGACCAUCUUUUUUAUUUUUAUUUUUUUAGAAGCCUGCUAGCUGUUAUAUCACUCAAGGAUUAUGUUUUUUCUGGCAAUAUAGAUGCUAUGAAGCUUUUUUUGGUUUUAGUAGCUAUUCUCAUUUUUUUGCUAGCAUUUUUUUUGUAGGUCAUGUUUCCUGUAUUGCAAAAUAUUCGUUUCAAAAGGCUUGAUAGAACAGUGGGCCACUUCUUCCUUCUAGUGUUGAACCUAAGGGAAGAAAGGUUUGAAGUUCUCGAUUCUAUGAGGUCUCUCGCUGACAUUAACUUGAAGACAUGCUGCAACAAUUUGAUCACUGCAAUUAAGGAACUUUGGCGCAAACAUUACCCUAAUUCAAGGAAGAAUAUUGACAAGUACCAACUGAUUGAUAUUAAUGUUCCAUUGCAGUCAAACAAUCAUGAUUGCGGGUUCCACAUGCUAAUGCACUGUGAACACUGGAAUGGUCUUAACAUGCCAGAGUUUAAGGAAAAAGAUAUGCCAACUAUUCGAAAGAUGCUCACAUACAAAUGGCUCCAACAUCCAGAAAACAAUAUUGCAUGGAGAUGUAAAAUGAAUAUUUGCUAGGGGUGAGGCUAUGUGCAGCAACUAACACAAGAAAGUUUAAUGUAUAGGAGUAACCAUGUGCAGCAGCUAACACAAGAAGCUUUUUAAUGCAGAAAGAUGUACAUCUGCAUGUGUGGUGCAUACAACAUAUACACAUGUCAUCUAAUGGGUACCCAAGACGUACAGUGGUGUAGUAUCAGAUCUGCUAAUGUAGUAGAAACUAUAGUACUAUGUGAUACAAGAGAUCUGGAUUGCUUAUGCAAAACAACUGAUUUUUGCUUUUAUGCAAAAGUAGUGAAUUGCUCAAAAGUUAGGAUAAGAUCUGCUAUUUCUUACAGAGUAACAGAUCUGGCUAGUUAGGUGAUUCAAGAGAACAAAUCUGGCAGAAGAAACCUUCUAGUAACAGAUCUGGCUAGUUCUAUUUUGAGACUAUUUUGUUGAAAGUAGUGGCAGAAGAAGUUGAUAGUACC